RNAcentral lists this ribosomal RNA (205 nucleotides) under uncultured bacterium. RNAcentral's name for it is "partial 16S ribosomal RNA". It matches the Rfam family "Bacterial small subunit ribosomal RNA", at positions 570 to 774 of the family's 1533-position model. The record is from RNAcentral.
UGCAGGUGGUUUGGUAAGUUGGAUGUGAAAUCUCCCGGCUCAACUGGGAGAGGUCGUUCAAAACUGCCAGGCUAGAGGACGGUAGAGGAAAGUGGAAUUCCCGGUGUAGUGGUGAAAUGCGUAGAUAUCGGGAGGAACACCAGUGGCGAAAGCGACUUUCUGGCCCGUUCCUGACACUAAGACGCGAAAGCUAGGGUAGCAAACG